CUCUUAUCCUGAGUGGUGGAGGGACAUGGACCCAAUGAAACCCAGCAACCUCUUCUUAAUGAAGAAAGGUGCCAAACCGUUUGCGGACAAAUAUUGUCUGAACGAUAAGAG
This 111-nucleotide non-coding RNA is filed under the name Staphylococcus chromogenes. RNAcentral describes it as "SAM-I sequence". It matches the Rfam family "SAM riboswitch aptamer (S box leader)". Rfam says of the family: The SAM riboswitch is found upstream of a number of genes which code for proteins involved in methionine or cysteine biosynthesis in Gram-positive bacteria. The SAM riboswitch acts at the level of transcription termination control. The predicted structure consists of a complex stem-loop region followed by a single stem loop terminator region. Lineage: Bacteria; Bacillati; Bacillota; Bacilli; Caryophanales; Staphylococcaceae. The record is from RNAcentral.